GUGCCUAAUGCAUGCAAGUCGAGCGACGCAUAUGGGGCUUGCCCCGUAUGACGGAGCGGCGAACGGGUGAGUAACACGUGAGCAACCUGCCCCGAAGACCGGGAUAGCCCGAGGAAACUCGGAUUAAUACCGGAUACCUUCACACCUUCGCAUGAGGGAGUGAAGAAAAGCCUUUGUGCUUCGGGAUGGGCUCGCGGCCUAUCAGCUAGGUGGUGAGGUAACAGCUCACCAAGGCAUCGACGGGUAGCUGGUCUGAGAGGACGAUCAGCCACACUGGAACUGAGACACGGUCCAGACUCCUACGGGAGGCAGCAGCAGGGAAUAUUGCACAAUGGGCGAAAGCCUGAUGCAGCAACGCCGCGUGAGGGAUGAAGGCCUUCGGGUUGUAAACCUCUUUCAGGAGGGAAGAAAUUGACGGUACCUCCAAAAGAAGCCCCGGCUAACUACGUGCCAGCAGCCGCGGUAAUACGUAGGGGGCGAGCGUUGUCCGGAUUUAUUGGGCGUAAAGGGCUCGUAGGCGGUUCAGUAAGUCGGCUGUGA
This 540-nucleotide ribosomal RNA is filed under the name uncultured Actinomycetes bacterium. RNAcentral describes it as "bacterial SSU rRNA". It matches the Rfam family "Bacterial small subunit ribosomal RNA", at positions 44 to 597 of the family's 1533-position model. The record is from RNAcentral. Lineage: Bacteria; Bacillati; Actinomycetota; Actinomycetes.